This 461-nucleotide ribosomal RNA is filed under the name uncultured bacterium. RNAcentral describes it as "partial 16S ribosomal RNA". It matches the Rfam family "Bacterial small subunit ribosomal RNA", at positions 338 to 795 of the family's 1533-position model. The record is from RNAcentral.
CCUACGGGGGGCAGCAGUGAGGAAUAUUGGUCAAUGGGCGGGAGCCUGAACCAGCCAAGUCGCGUGAGGGAAGACGGUCCUAUGGAUUGUAAACCUCUUUAGGCGGGGAGCAAUGCCGGGCACGCGUGCCCGGAGGGAGAGUACCCGCCGAAUAAGCAUCGGCUGACUCCGUGCCAGCAGCCGCGGUAAUACAGAGGUCUCAAGCGUUGUUCGGAAUCACUGGGCGUAAAGCGUGCGUAGGCUGUUUCGUAAGUCGUGUGUGAAAGGCGCGGGCUCAACCCGCGGACGGCACAUGAUACUGCGAGACUAGAGUAAUGGAGGGGGAACCGGAAUUCUCGGUGUAGCAGUGAAAUGCGUAGAUAUCGAGAGGAACACCAGUGGCGAAGGCGGUCUGCUGGACAGCAACUGACGGUGAGGCGCGAAAGCGUGGGGAGCAAACAGGAUUAGAUACCCCGGUAGUC